Molecule: ribosomal RNA, 308 nt
Filed under: uncultured bacterium
Lineage: Bacteria
Description: bacterial SSU rRNA
Rfam family: Bacterial small subunit ribosomal RNA
Source: RNAcentral
GACGAACGCUGGCGGCGUGCCUAAUACAUGCAAGUCGAACGCUUCUUUUUCCACCGGAGCUUGCUCCACCGGAAAAAGAGGAGUGGCGAACGGGUGAGUAACACGUGGGUAACCUGCCCAUCAGAAGGGGAUAACACUUGGAAACAGGUGCUAAUACCGUAUAACAAUACGAAACUAGCAUGGUUUUGGUAUUUGUAAAGGACGCUUUCGGGUUGUCGCUGAUGGAUGGACCCGCGGUGCAUUAGCUAGUUGGUGAGGUAACGGCUCACCAAGGCGACGAUGCAUAGCCGACCUGAGAGGGUGAUCGG